UCGAACGCUGGCGGCGUGGCUAAAACAUGCAAGUCGCACGGAAAGGUCCGUCUAGUUUACUAGUUGGACACUCGAGUGGCGAAAGGGCGAGGAAUACAUGGGUAACGUACCCUGGACUUGAGGACAGCCCGGAGAAAUCCGGGUUAAUACUCGAUAAGACCACAGUGCCGCAGGGCACAGCGGUCAAAGGCGGGGAUCCCUUCGGGGACCUGUCGGUCUGGGAGCGGCCCAUGCCCUAUCAGCUAGUUGGCGAGGUAACGGCUCACCAAGGCAUCGACGGGUACCGGGACUGAGAGGUUGACCCGGCGCAUCGGGACUGAGACACUGCCCGGACUCCUACGGGAGGCUGCAGUAACGAAUAUUCCGCAAUGGACGAAAGUCUGACGGAGCGACGCCGCGUGCAGGAUGAAGCCCCUCGGGGUGUAAACUGCUGUCAGGGACCACCAAGCAAUGCAAUGAGGGCUAAUAUCCCUCGGCGUUGAGGAUUCCCAAAGGAAGCCACGGCUAACUUCGUGCCAGCAGCCGCGGUAAGACGAAGGUGGCAAGCGUUGUUCGGAAUCACUGGGCUUAAAGGGUAUGUAGGCGGUCCGUCAAGCGUUUAGUGAAAGCCCUCGGCUCAACCGAGGAAUUGCUGGGCGAACUGGCGGACUUGAGGCAGGUAGGGGCGCGUGGAACUCUUGGUGGAGCGGUGGAAUGCGUAGAUAUCAAGAGGAACGCCGGUGGCGAAAGCGGCGCGCUGGGCCUGUCCUGACGCUGAAAUACGAAAGCCAGGGGAGCAAACGGGAUUAGAUACCCCGGUAGUCCUGGCCCUAAACGAU
This 818-nucleotide ribosomal RNA is filed under the name uncultured bacterium. RNAcentral's name for it is "bacterial SSU rRNA". It matches the Rfam family "Bacterial small subunit ribosomal RNA", at positions 29 to 810 of the family's 1533-position model. The record is from RNAcentral.